This 240-nucleotide unclassified non-coding RNA is filed under the name soil metagenome. RNAcentral describes it as "partial contains 5.8S ribosomal RNA, internal transcribed spacer 2, and large subunit ribosomal RNA". The record is from RNAcentral.
AACAAGGCGUACCUGCGGACCUGCGGAGGGAUCAUUACCGAGUGUGAACCCCCCCGUAAAAAAGAGGGGUUACCUCCCGUCCUUUGCUGGGAACCCCUUUCCAACUUGGAAGGAGGUUGUUUUCAGACCCUUCUGCUUCGGUGGGGUAACCCACCGGAACAACCUCAAAAAUAUUCUCAAUUCAAAACCGUUCAGUCCGAGAACUUUUUUGAAAAGCGAGAAAACUUUUAACAACGGAUC